This 450-nucleotide ribosomal RNA is filed under the name uncultured bacterium. Its description in RNAcentral is "partial 16S ribosomal RNA". It matches the Rfam family "Bacterial small subunit ribosomal RNA", at positions 354 to 796 of the family's 1533-position model. The record is from RNAcentral.
GUGGGGAAUCUUCCGCAAUGGACGAAAGUCUGACGGAGCAACGCCGCGUGAGUGAAGAAGGUUUUCGGAUCGUAAAGCUCUUUCGUUAGGGACGAACGUGCUCUUUGUGAAUAAUGAGGAGUAAUGACGGUACCUAAAUAAGAAGCCACGGCUAACUACGUGCCAGCAGCCGCGGUAAUACGUAGGUGGCAAGCGUUGUCCGGAAUUAUUGGGCGUAAAGCGCGCGCAGGCGGGAUAUCAAGUCUGUCUUAAAAGUGCGAGGCUCAACCUCGUGAGGGGACAGAAACUGGUAUUCUUGAGUGUCGGAGAGGAAAGUGGAAUUCCAAGUGUAGCGGUGAAAUGCGUAGAGAUUUGGAAGAACACCAGUGGCGAAGGCGACUUUCUGGACGAUGUCUGACGCUGAGAUGCGAAAGCCAGGGUAGCGAACGGGAUUAGAAACCCUAGUAGUCC